CACAUGCACACAACACAGCUGAUAGGAUACACUAUCCAGUUCUGCAAAGGAGAAGUUAAUAAUCGAACUUAGCUCUUCCAAACUUGCGACUGACUUGUUGGCAUGCCGACCGGAUGGCUCAGUUUUGGGAUAAUGUCAACGCCUUCAGCAGAUGCUAUUGCAUUACAUAAAGAGAUAUGCCAUGCUGGAGAGCUUCCACUCACUCCUAAUGUGUGCAUUCUGGCCACGGGCAACAACUUCACAUCCAGUCCUAUCACUGACACGGUAAUCUGGGAGCGAUCCCAAAGCUGUUUUGCAUCACUUGUCACAGGUCUGAUAUCCCAGUGGAGGCACAGCAGGUUGUGUAACGGCAGAGAGGAACAGGGUGGAGCGGCUAUUUUUACCUGAAGCCCAGGAGUCAGCGCAACACAGAAGGUGUGUCUGCACAAGUGUGCGUGCCUGGCAUGGUGAGGGUGCAGUCCAUCAGCAAACCAACGAGGGAGAACUGACGCAAGUGCAUGAGAAAAGGCGGUGAAGUGAUUCCUCUGACACAGAUCUGAGAUGAGUUUUGCAGCCAUAACCAGGCAGCACUGUAGGAGCUAAUUCAAAGUUAUUGACAAAUGCCUGGACUGUAUCUUGUGUAGCAUCUUUGUAUAUAUUGCUCACUUUCUGUAUUUUACAGUUAUUUGAAAAGUUAUUUUGAUAUGAAAACUAUCACUUCUUGAACCGAAGUUCAAAAUAUUGGGGUUGUUCGUACUUUGGAGCUACAUCAAACAUCACCCUCUCAUAAGUGUUUGGGCUCGGACACUCUCAGAAAGUGGCACAGUAAAAUUCAUUAAUGCAUCCUCAUGAAAUAUGGUGCUGGAAGAUUGGUGAUGUAGUGACUUCUUGAGGUUUGUGAAGUAUUUGUGAAUGUUGGUGGCAAAAUGAAUAUUUAGAA
Long non-coding RNA from Thunnus maccoyii (southern bluefin tuna), 919 nucleotides. RefSeq lists it as uncharacterized. Lineage: Eukaryota; Metazoa; Chordata; Actinopteri; Scombriformes; Scombridae. The transcript is spliced from 4 exons. The record is from RefSeq and is a predicted model, not a curated record.